RNAcentral lists this long non-coding RNA (208 nucleotides) under Trifolium pratense (red clover). RNAcentral describes it as "long non-coding RNA (TPRA_LNC002908)". Lineage: Eukaryota; Viridiplantae; Streptophyta; Magnoliopsida; Fabales; Fabaceae. The record is from RNAcentral.
AUCAAUUCUUGUAACCAUUGGGUUAAUUGGUUAAUUGGAUUUGUUGAUGUUUUGGCAGAAAAAUUGGAUUAGCAAAGAUCAAAGGAGAAUGAAAUGACAUGAACUUUUGCUUGCUUACAUUGUUGGUGAAGACCAAAGCUAAAAAUGGAAAAAGUUGAAAACAAAAAUCCAGAAAACCAGGGGAGGGAGGCGCAGCACUGUGUUGCUG